RNAcentral lists this ribosomal RNA (609 nucleotides) under uncultured Vibrio sp. RNAcentral's name for it is "bacterial SSU rRNA". It matches the Rfam family "Bacterial small subunit ribosomal RNA", at positions 69 to 671 of the family's 1533-position model. Lineage: Bacteria; Pseudomonadati; Pseudomonadota; Gammaproteobacteria; Vibrionales; Vibrionaceae. The record is from RNAcentral.
GAACCUUCGGGGAACGUUAACGGCGUCGAGCGGCGGACGGGUGAGUAAUGCCUGGGAAAUUGCCCUGAUGUGGGGGAUAACCAUUGGAAACGAUGGCUAAUACCGCAUAAUAGCUUCGGCUCAAAGAGGGGGACCUUCGGGCCUCUCGCGUCAGGAUAUGCCCAGGUGGGAUUAGCUAGUUGGUGAGGUAAUGGCUCACCAAGGCGACGAUCCCUAGCUGGUCUGAGAGGAUGAUCAGCCACACUGGAACUGAGACACGGUCCAGACUCCUACGGGAGGCAGCAGUGGGGAAUAUUGCACAAUGGGCGCAAGCCUGAUGCAGCCAUGCCGCGUGUAUGAAGAAGGCCUUCGGGUUGUAAAGUACUUUCAGCAGUGAGGAAGGCAGGUACGUUAAUAGCGUGCUUGUUUGACGUUAGCUGCAGAAGAAGCACCGGCUAACUCCGUGCCAGCAGCCGCGGUAAUACGGAGGGUGCGAGCGUUAAUCGGAAUUACUGGGCGUAAAGCGCAUGCAGGUGGUUUGUUAAGUCAGAUGUGAAAGCCCGGGGCUCAACCUCGGAAUUGCAUUUGAAACUGGCAGACUAGAGUACUGUAGAGGGGGGUAGAAUUUCA